CACGUAGGGGGCGAGCGUUGUCCGGAUUUAUUGGGCGUAAAGAGCUCGUAGGCGGCUCAGUAAGUCAGGUGUGAAAACUCCAGGCUCAACCUGGAGACGCCACCUGAUACUGCUGUGGCUAGAGUCCGGUAGGGGAGCAUGGAAUUCCUGGUGUGGCGGUGAAAUGCGCAGAUAUCAGGAGGAACACCAGUGGCGAAGGCGGUGCUCUGGGCCGGAACUGACGCUGAGGAGCGAAAGCGUGGGGAGCAAACAGG
RNAcentral lists this ribosomal RNA (254 nucleotides) under uncultured bacterium. RNAcentral's name for it is "partial 16S ribosomal RNA". It matches the Rfam family "Bacterial small subunit ribosomal RNA", at positions 524 to 776 of the family's 1533-position model. The record is from RNAcentral.